UUCGUAGGUAGAGAAUACUAAGGCGUAGAGAUAAUACUUGUAAAGGAACUCGGCAAGUUGUCUUCAUAAGUUAGACGAGAUGAAGAACCAAUUAUAUAAUUUUUAUUUAGGUAAAUUUUAUAUAAAGGGUGGCACAUAAUCGGAGGCCCCGACUGUUUACUUAAAACACAGACAUCUGCAACGAUUAAUUUCUUUGUAUAGGUGUUGAAUUUUGCCCAAUGCCAUUAAUAUAAGGUUAAUAGGCGCUUUGCGUUUUUAUUUUCUAAAAAUCUGGUCAAUGGCGGUCUUAUCCUGAGGAUCCUAAGGUAGCAAAAUUACUUGUCCAUUAAAUGUGGUCCCGACUGAAUAAAGUAACGAUGGUCUCACUGUCUCUACAAGUAUCUCAGUGAAAUUGAAUUAGCCGUGAAGAUGCGGUUUACCUCCAGGUAGACGGGAAGACCCUAUGCAGCUUUACUGUAGCUAGUUAUCAUAUAUACUUAAUCUAGGUGUAGCGUAUAAGGUAGUCGAUUUGACAAAGGUGAAACACCUUAACUAGUAUUAUGUUAAUAUUUAUUCUUCAUUUUGUAAGAAAACAAAUGACUAGUUGGCAGUUUGA
RNAcentral lists this ribosomal RNA (595 nucleotides) under uncultured Tulasnella. Its description in RNAcentral is "bacterial LSU rRNA". It matches the Rfam family "Bacterial large subunit ribosomal RNA", at positions 1664 to 2273 of the family's 2925-position model. The record is from RNAcentral. Lineage: Eukaryota; Fungi; Basidiomycota; Agaricomycetes; Cantharellales; Tulasnellaceae.